Molecule: long non-coding RNA, 322 nt
Organism: Xenopus tropicalis (tropical clawed frog)
Lineage: Eukaryota; Metazoa; Chordata; Amphibia; Anura; Pipidae
Exons: 2
Source: RefSeq, a predicted model, not a curated record
UCUCCUACCCACUGGUGCUCAGGGAAAGCCCCUCCCCCAUGAAACUCAACCAGGGUGGACAAGAGGAAAGGGUGUGUGUACAAUAAGUCUCAUGUAACGUGGCAUGUGAUGGCACAGCAUGGAAAGACAGGACGACAGCUAUUUUGACUUCUGAAGAAACAGGGACUUUUCCAUUCGGGGGGGGGGGGAUACAUGGAGUCGACAGCAAAACUGUCUGUAAAUGAGAAGGAUAGCUGUAACGUUCAAGGGUUAUCCACUGCUAACAACCUAUAGAUAUGGCAGGAGAACUUCAUCAUUAAACCUCUGUUUUUUUCUUACUUUA